Non-coding RNA from Phormidium ambiguum, 37 nucleotides. NCBI's taxonomy places the organism in Bacteria, Bacillati, Cyanobacteriota, Cyanophyceae, Oscillatoriales, Oscillatoriaceae. The record is from Rfam.
GUUGAAAUUCAAACUAAUCCCUAUCAGGGAUUGAAAC